This 1486-nucleotide ribosomal RNA is filed under the name uncultured bacterium. Its description in RNAcentral is "bacterial SSU rRNA". It matches the Rfam family "Bacterial small subunit ribosomal RNA". The record is from RNAcentral.
AGUUUGAUCCCUGGCUCAGAUUGAACGCUGGCGGCAGGCCUAACACAUGCAAGUCGAACGGUAACAGGAAGAAGCUUGCUUCUUUGCUGACGAGUGGCGGACGGGUGAGUAAUGUCUGGGAAACUGCCUGAUGGAGGGGGAUAACUACUGGAAACGGUAGCUAAUACCGCAUAACGUCGCAAGACCAAAGAGGGGGACCUUCGGGCCUCUUGCCAUCGGAUGUGCCCAGAUGGGAUUAGCUAGUAGGUGGGGUAACGGCUCACCUAGGCGACGAUCCCUAGCUGGUCUGAGAGGAUGACCAGCCACACUGGAACUGAGACACGGUCCAGACUCCUACGGGAGGCAGCAGUGGGGAAUAUUGCACAAUGGGCGCAAGCCUGAUGCAGCCAUGCCGCGUGUAUGAAGAAGGCCUUCGGGUUGUAAAGUACUUUCAGCGGGGAGGAAGGGAGUAAAGUUAAUACCUUUGCUCAUUGACGUUACCCGCAGAAGAAGCACCGGCUAACUCCGUGCCAGCAGCCGCGGUAAUACGGAGGGUGCAAGCGUUAAUCGGAAUUACUGGGCGUAAAGCGCACGCAGGCGGUUUGUUAAGUCAGAUGUGAAAUCCCCGGGCUCAACCUGGGAACUGCAUCUGAUACUGGCAAGCUUGAGUCUCGUAGAGGGGGGUAGAAUUCCAGGUGUAGCGGUGAAAUGCGUAGAGAUCUGGAGGAAUACCGGUGGCGAAGGCGGCCCCCUGGACGAAGACUGACGCUCAGGUGCGAAAGCGUGGGGAGCAAACAGGAUUAGAUACCUGGUAGUCCACGCCGUAAACGAUGUCGACUUGGAGGUUGUGCCCUUGAGGCGUGGCUUCCGGAGCUAACGCGUUAAGUCGACCGCCUGGGGAGUACGGCCGCAAGGUUAAAACUCAAAUGAAUUGACGGGGGCCCGCACAAGCGGUGGAGCAUGUGGUUUAAUUCGAUGCAACGCGAAGAACCUUACCUGGUCUUGACAUCCACGGAAGUUUUCAGAGAUGAGAAUGUGCCUUCGGGAACCGUGAGACAGGUGCUGCAUGGCUGUCGUCAACUCGUGUUGUGAAAUGUUGGGUUAAGUCCCGCAACGAGCGCAACCCUUAUCCUUUGUUGCCAGCGGUCCGGCCGGGAACUCAAAGGAGACUGCCAGUGAUAAACUGGAGGAAGGUGGGGAUGACGUCAAGUCAUCAUGGCCCUUACGACCAGGGCUACACACGUGCUACAAUGGCGCAUACAAAGAGAAGCGACCUCGCGAGAGCAAGCGGACCUCAUAAAGUGCGUCGUAGUCCGGAUUGGAGUCUGCAACUCGACUCCAUGAAGUCGGAAUCGCUAGUAAUCGUGGAUCAGAAUGCCACGGUGAAUACGUUCCCGGGCCUUGUACACACCGCCCGUCACACCAUGGGAGUGGGUUGCAAAAGAAGUAGGUAGCUUAACCUUCGGGAGGGCGCUUACCACUUUGUGAUUCAUGACUGGGGUGAAGU